RNAcentral lists this ribosomal RNA (433 nucleotides) under uncultured bacterium. Its description in RNAcentral is "partial 16S ribosomal RNA". It matches the Rfam family "Bacterial small subunit ribosomal RNA", at positions 29 to 507 of the family's 1533-position model. The record is from RNAcentral.
AACGAACGCUGGCGGCAUGCCUAACACAUGCAAGUCGAACGAGACCUUCGGGUCUAGUGGCGCACGGGUGCGUAACGCGUGGGAACCUGCCCUUAGGUUCGGAAUAACUCCCCGAAAGGGGUGCUAAUACCGGAUAAUGUCUUCGGACCAAAGAUUUAUCGCCUUUGGAUGGGCCCGCGUUGGAUUAGCUAGUUGGUAGGGUAAAAGCCUACCAAGGCGACGAUCCAUAGCUGGUCUGAGAGGAUGAUCAGCCACACUGGGACUGAGACACGGCCCAGACUCCUACGGGAGGCAGCAGUGGGGAAUAUUGGACAAUGGGCGAAAGCCUGAUCCAGCAAUGCCGCGUGAGUGAUGAAGGCCUUAGGGUUGUAAAGCUCUUUUACCCGGGAUGAUAAUGACAGUACCGGGAGAAUAAGCGCCAGCUAACUCCGUG